This 364-nucleotide ribosomal RNA is filed under the name uncultured bacterium. RNAcentral describes it as "partial 16S ribosomal RNA". It matches the Rfam family "Bacterial small subunit ribosomal RNA", at positions 338 to 699 of the family's 1533-position model. The record is from RNAcentral.
CCUACGGGAGGCAGCAGUGAGGAAUAUUGGGCAAUGGACGCAAGUCUGAACCAGCCAUGCCGCGUGCAGGAAGACGGCUCUAUGAGUUGUAAACUGCUUUUGUACGAGGGUAAACGCAGAUACGCGACUCUGUCUGAAAGUAUCGUACGUAUCAGGAUCGGCUAACUCCGUGCCAGCAGCCGCGGUAAUACGGAGGAUACAAGCGUUAUCCGGAUUUAUUGGGUUUAACGGGUGCGUAGGCGGUCGGAUAAGUUAGAGGUGAAAUCCCGAGGCUCAACUGGGGAAUUGCCUCUGAUACGGUUCGGCUAGAGAGUAGAAGCGGAAGGUGGAAUGUAAGGUGUAGCGGUGAAAUGCUUAGAGAUAA